GACGAACGCUGGCGGCGUGCCUAAUACAUGCAAGUCGAACGCUGAAGAGAGGAGCUUGCUCUUCUUGGAUGAGUUGCGAACGGGUGAGUAACGCGUAGGUAACCUGCCUUGUAGCGGGGGAUAACUAUUGGAAACGAUAGCUAAUACCGCAUAACAAUGGAUGACACAUGUCAUUUAUUUGAAAGGGGCAAUUGCUCCACUACAAGAUGGACCUGCGUUGUUUUAGCUAGUAGGUGAGGUAAUGGCUCACCUAGGCGAGGAUACAUAGCCGACCAGAGAGGAUGAUCGACCACUCGUGAGUUGCGACAACGCCCAAGCCCCUACGGGAGGCAGCAGUGGGGAUUCUUAGGCAAGGGCGGCAACCCUGGCCGAACGACGCCGCGUGAGUGAAGGAAGUUUUCGGAUCGUGAUGCUCUGUUGUGAGUCAAGAACGGGUGUGAGAGUGGAAAAUUCACGCUGUGACGGUAGCUUAACAGAAAGGGACGGCUAACUACGUG
This 497-nucleotide ribosomal RNA is filed under the name uncultured bacterium. Its description in RNAcentral is "partial 16S ribosomal RNA". It matches the Rfam family "Bacterial small subunit ribosomal RNA", at positions 28 to 507 of the family's 1533-position model. The record is from RNAcentral.